CGUAACAAGGUCUCCGUAGGUGAACCUGCGGAGGGAUCAUUACACAAAUAUGAAGGCGGGCUGGAACCUCUCGGGGUUACAGCCUUGCUGAAUUAUUCACCCUUGUCUUUUGCGUACUUCUUGUUUCCUUGGUGGGUUCGCCCACCACUAGGACAAACAUAAACCUUUUGUAAUUGCAAUCUGCGUCAGUAACAAAUUAAUAAUUACAACUUUCAACAACGGAUCUCUUGGUUCUGGCAUCGAUGAAGAACGCAGCGAAAUGCGAUAAGUAGUGUGAAUUGCAGAAUUCAGUGAAUCAUCGAAUCUUUGAACGCACAUUGCGCCCUUUGGUAUUCCAAAGGGCAUGCCUGUUCGAGCGUCAUUUGUACCCUCAAGCUUUGCUUGGUGUUGGGCGUCUUGUCUCUAGCUUUGCUGGAGACUCGCCUUAAAGUAAUUGGCAGCCGGCCUACUGGUUUCGGAGCGCAGCACAAGUCGCACUCUCUAUCAGCAAAGGUCUAGCAUCCAUUAAGCCUUUUUUUCAACUUUUGACCUCGGAUCUGGUAGGGAUACCCGCUGAACUUAAGCAUAUCA
Molecule: ribosomal RNA, 570 nt
Filed under: uncultured fungus
Lineage: Eukaryota; Fungi
Description: eukaryotic LSU rRNA
Rfam family: 5.8S ribosomal RNA (bases 208-361)
Source: RNAcentral